Molecule: transfer RNA, 79 nt
Filed under: Escherichia coli
Lineage: Bacteria; Pseudomonadati; Pseudomonadota; Gammaproteobacteria; Enterobacterales; Enterobacteriaceae
Description: tRNA-Glu
Rfam family: tRNA
About the family: Transfer RNA (tRNA) molecules are approximately 80 nucleotides in length.
Source: RNAcentral
GUCCCCUUCGUCUAGAGGCCCAGCAGGACACCGCCCUUUCACGGCGGUAACAGGGGUUCGAAUCCCCUAGGGGACGCCA